UUUAAAGUGCCUGAUUAAAAGGAAAGUUUUGAUAGAACUUGCAUGCCUAACUAAUACUUUAGGCCUUUAAAU
RNAcentral lists this transfer RNA (72 nucleotides) under Haematomyzus elephantis (elephant louse). Its description in RNAcentral is "tRNA-Ile". Lineage: Eukaryota; Metazoa; Arthropoda; Insecta; Psocodea; Haematomyzidae. The record is from RNAcentral.